UAGUUUCCCAUUGACUUUAAUCACAGGAC
RNAcentral lists this non-coding RNA (29 nucleotides) under Mus musculus (house mouse). The record is from RNAcentral. Lineage: Eukaryota; Metazoa; Chordata; Mammalia; Rodentia; Muridae.